This 62-nucleotide transfer RNA is filed under the name Phytoseiulus persimilis. Its description in RNAcentral is "tRNA-Asp". RNAcentral also lists the same sequence under 1 other name. The record is from RNAcentral. Lineage: Eukaryota; Metazoa; Arthropoda; Arachnida; Mesostigmata; Phytoseiidae.
AAAAAGUUAGUUAAUUAAAUAAUAUAAAAUUGUCAUUUUUAAGUUACUUUUAGUACUUUUUA